Molecule: ribosomal RNA, 924 nt
Filed under: uncultured Bacteroidota bacterium
Lineage: Bacteria; Pseudomonadati; Bacteroidota
Description: bacterial SSU rRNA
Rfam family: Bacterial small subunit ribosomal RNA
Source: RNAcentral
GGAUCCAGACUUUGAUUAUGGCUCAGGAUGAACGCUAGCUACAGGCUUAACACAUGCAAGUCGAGGGGAAACGACAUCGAAAGCUUGCUUUUGAUGGGCGUCGACCGGCGCACGGGUGAGCAACGCGUAUCCAACCUGCCCACCACUUGGGGAUAACCUUGCGAAAGUAAGACUAAUACCCAAUGACGUCUCUAGAAGACAUCUGAAAGAGAUUAAAGAUUUAUCGGUGAUGGAUGGGGAUGCGUCUGAUUAGCUUGUUGGCGGGGUAACGGCCCACCAAGGCUACGAUCAGUAGGGGUUCUGAGAGGAAGGUCCCCCACAUUGGAACUGAGACACGGUCCAAACUCCUACGGGAGGCAGCAGUGAGGAAUAUUGGUCAAUGGACGAGAGUCUGAACCAGCCAAGUAGCGUGCAGGAUGACGGCCCUAUGGGUUGUAAACUGCUUUUAUAAGGGAAUAAAGUGAGUCUCGUGAGACUUUUUGCAUGUACCUUAUGAAUAAGGACCGGCUAAUUCCGUGCCAGCAGCCGCGGUAAUACGGAAGGUCCGGGCGUUAUCCGGAUUUAUUGGGUUUAAAGGGAGCGUAGGCCGGAGAUUAAGCGUGUUGUGAAAUGUAGAUGCUCAACAUCUGCACUGCAGCGCGAACUGGUUUCCUUGAGUACGCACAAAGUGGGCGGAAUUCGUGGUGUAGCGGUGAAAUGCUUAGAUAUCACGAAGAACUCCGAUUGCGAAGGCAGCUCAUUGGAGCGCAACUGACGCUGAAGCUCGAAAGUGCGGGUAUCGAACAGGAUUAGAUACCCUGGUAGUCCGCACGGUAAACGAUGGAUGCCCGCUGUUGGUCUGAAUAGGUCAGCGGCCAAGCGAAAGCAUUAAGCAUCCCACCUGGGGAGUACGCCGGCAACGGUGCAACUCAAAGGAAUUGACGG